RNAcentral lists this ribosomal RNA (495 nucleotides) under uncultured bacterium. Its description in RNAcentral is "partial 16S ribosomal RNA". It matches the Rfam family "Bacterial small subunit ribosomal RNA", at positions 28 to 507 of the family's 1533-position model. The record is from RNAcentral.
GACGAACGCUGGCGGCGUGCCUAAUACAUGCAAGUAGAACGCUGAAGGAGGAGCUUGCUCUUCUGGAUGAGUUGCGAACGGGUGAGUAACGCGUAGGUAACCUGCCUGGUAGCGGGGGAUAACUAUUGGAAACGAUAGCUAAUACCGCAUAAGAGUAGAUGUUGCAUGACAUUUACUUAAAAGGUGCAAUUGCAUCACUACCAGAUGGACCUGCGUUGUAUUAGCUAGUUGGUGGGGUAACGGCUUACCAAGGCGACGAUACAUAGCCGACCUGAGAGGGUGAUCGGCCACACUGGGACUGAGACACGGCCCAGACGCCUACGGGAGGCAGCAGUAGGGAAUCUUCGGCAAUGGACGGAAGUCUGACCGAGCAACGCCACGUGAGUGAAGAAGGUUUUCGGAUCGUAAAGCUCUGUUGUAAGAGAAGAACGAGUGUGAGAGUGGAAAGUUCACACUGUGACGGUAUCUUACCAGAAAGGGACGGCUAACUACGUG